Molecule: non-coding RNA, 492 nt
Organism: Prunus avium (sweet cherry)
Lineage: Eukaryota; Viridiplantae; Streptophyta; Magnoliopsida; Rosales; Rosaceae
Source: RefSeq, a predicted model, not a curated record
ACAACUCACGGACACAUCUAAGAUCUAACCAUUCUCUCUCCUUCAGAUUUCUCUUAGAGCCUCUCUCCUAUCUCCUAUCUCCUUUCUUCCUUCGUCUCUUAACCCUAGCCGCAACUCCCUCUCAUUAUUUCUCCAUCUCUCUCUGCUACCUCUCCCUCUCUCUCUAUCUCUCUGCUACAUCUCCCUCUCCCUCUCCCUCUCCCUCUCCACCAGGUUCUGCAAGGAUUGAUGAUGGGAAUAUUGCAUUAUUUUGCUUUUCCUUGCUGGGCAUUUGGCGGACUUGAUUCUUCUAUGGGAAUGAGAAUAUCAGCAGAGGGAGAGAAGUUCUAUUUUACUGUUUUGAUGUGCAGAAUGUUGUGUUGAAUCUGAUGGGGCUGCUGUUUGGAAGGAUUCACUGUUUUUUAAAUCAUUAUUUGUAAUAACUAUAUAAUUAAGCACAAUAGGAUUGUAUUUCUUUGAGAAUCAUGUUCUGUAAUAAUUAUUAUUGCUUGC